GGAGUUUAGACUCAGGCCACUAGCUGAUUUGAACAGCUCAUUUCCCUGAGAGCUUCUCCUGUCUGUGGCCCUAGAUGACCACAUCCAGGGUCAUCUCUCUCCUUCCCAAUGCCAUCUUCACGGAGGAUACAGACAGGCAUGCAGAAGUAACUAGACGUCCAACACAUGCCAAAGUCUUGCGGGCCCAGGAUUUCAAACAAAAGAAAACUCGGAUCCAGCUUAGAAAUAAUGUUUCACUCAAGAUAAGGCUUGUGGUUUAGGAGAUUCUGGUCUGGCCUGCCUCACUUUAAGACUUCUAUCAUCUCUUUUCAAAACCUGAGGAGGACCUCAUUUCCUGUUUGAUAGUUCUUCAUGCUUUGCCAGCCUCCGGGUCUUUAACGAAGCUUGCCAAGAAUUCCCGGCUGGGAAGGACAGCCUGAGUUCAUCAUAGAGAAUGAGCUGGCACCACAGUUGUAGUG
Molecule: long non-coding RNA, 458 nt
Organism: Bos taurus (domestic cattle)
Lineage: Eukaryota; Metazoa; Chordata; Mammalia; Artiodactyla; Bovidae
Source: Ensembl